GACAAGCUGCCUGAAUACAGGGUUAUUUUGAUGUGAUAAAAAAUACAAAGCCUCGACUUUGUGCUGGUUA
RNAcentral lists this transfer RNA (70 nucleotides) under Erotides cosnardi. RNAcentral's name for it is "tRNA-Ile". The record is from RNAcentral. Lineage: Eukaryota; Metazoa; Arthropoda; Insecta; Coleoptera; Lycidae.